UAAGGAAUAUUGGACAAUGGAGGCAACUCUGAUCCAGCCAUGCCGCGUGAAGGAAUAAGGCCCUAUGGGUUGUAAACUUCUUUUAGACGGGACAAAACCCCUUUACGUGUAAAGGGUUGAUGGUACUGUCAGAAUAAGCAUCGGCUAACUUCGUGCCAGCAGCCGCGGUAAUACGAAGGAUGCAAGCGUUAUCCGGAAUUAUUGGGUUUAAAGGGUGCGUAGGCGGACUAAUAAGUCAGUGGUGAAAGCCUGCAGCUUAACUGCAGAAUUGCCAUUGAUACUGUUAGUCUUGAGUACAGUUGAGGUAGGCGGAAUGUGUCAUGUGGCGGUGAAAUGCUUAGAUAUGACACAGAACGCCGAUUGCGAAGGCAGCUUGCUAAGCUGUAACUGACGCUGAGGCACGAAAGCGUGGGGAGCAAACA
RNAcentral lists this ribosomal RNA (422 nucleotides) under uncultured bacterium. Its description in RNAcentral is "bacterial SSU rRNA". It matches the Rfam family "Bacterial small subunit ribosomal RNA", at positions 355 to 774 of the family's 1533-position model. The record is from RNAcentral.